GGGUGCGGGCGCGGGGGCCUGCUCGGACAAACGAAGAUAAAUCCGUGCAUUAUCGAGCUCACGCAAAGUGGAAACAAUUAGGACGCUGCUCAUACUCCCCCUUCUUCCACCGACUUAGCCUUACAAACUCUUCACCACUCUGAAGGGGGAAAAUAAUUUAUUUUGCUAUUCAAUAAAGAGCAGGGUUCGUACCGACGAUCGUAUAGCUGUCGACUACGCCGCCUCGCGUAUGUCCUCACAACCGUUUUGUCCUGAUAAUAGUGUCGCUAAAGCCAACUAAAUGUUAGUUCCGCCAACCCAGCUUUGAUCUUGUUGCGGUCGGCGCACGGCGCCGGCAACGUAGGCAACCGUUCCGUCACGCGCUGCUUCUUCCCCCGGGCCGUGACGUCAUUCAGCAGGCAGGAGCCCCAGGAGCCAGGCCACGGACCUCAGAGACGCACAACUCGAGACCGAACCAGUUAGCCAGCUGUGUUUCGCUGUCGCGACGCGACAGGCGACAGCGCUCGCACUCUCGGUGUACAGAGUCAACCUCCAACCUUAUAACCUAACCUAGUGGCCACUCUAACCUCAACGACAACGCCUCGACGACGCACGCCGGUCCGGAGAGAACGUUUGAAGGGGCCAUCGUUAAAGGGGCAACAACAACAGACAGAUGAUCGGCUACCUGCACAACCUGCCACUAUGCGCACCACGAUCAUCAACGCCUACAAGCUGACCCACCCAAGCUUAUUUCGUCGGCGGCGCCGUUCCAGCCACAUCAGAUGUUACCGUAUACUGAUAUAGGAUACAUGUGGUGAGUGCGGCGUUACUCGCCUCUUCACAAUCCCUGGGCCCUGGGUAAUUGUAUGUUCUGUGCGCACAUUUAGGUUAUGUGUUUUCUAUACCGGUAUUUCUUGUGCUUGUGAAUGUUAACUGUAGGUGUAUUUGUGUUUAUGCACACUUAUAUGUACUGUAGGUUUAUCACUUAAAGGCAAGACAAAACAACACGUAUAUAGUUGUUCCUUCUUAUUCAUAUUCUGGUCAAAGGUCUAACUCUUUUACAUCAGCUAAUUUUGAUGUUUUAGUAACUAAUACUGGAAUGUUGCUUAGUGAUAAUUCAUUUGUAUUUGUGCGGAGUUUAUGAGCACAAAUAUUGUUGAUAUUUGAGACUGUGUCUAAUAUUAUGGGCUAACGUGUCCCACAUAUUGACAACUACAGCUUUACGGUAAAUUAUUGUCAAAUAGUGGUAAUAACAAAUUCUGUAAAUUAAUAAAUAUUGACGUUGGUAUGGGA
Frankliniella occidentalis (western flower thrips) is the source of this 1272-nucleotide long non-coding RNA. RefSeq lists it as uncharacterized. The transcript has 2 exons. Lineage: Eukaryota; Metazoa; Arthropoda; Insecta; Thysanoptera; Thripidae. The record is from RefSeq and is a predicted model, not a curated record.